This is a long non-coding RNA of Cottoperca gobio, 1293 nucleotides long. RefSeq lists it as uncharacterized. The record is from RefSeq and is a predicted model, not a curated record. The transcript is spliced from 4 exons. NCBI's taxonomy places the organism in Eukaryota, Metazoa, Chordata, Actinopteri, Perciformes, Bovichtidae.
AGACAACGUAAAUACAUUUACAUUGUAGCCUACAUGUCAUGCACAAAGCGUGUUUUUAGCAGUAGUUGUUAGCAGUGGUAUUGAAGAGAAACACACAAGGACCACAACACAUCAACCGGACUUUUGCAGGGAGAACAAGAAAACUCCAACGUGAUACGACACUACACUCCCACUGGAUGAAGAUUCAUCAUCUGUGUUGACUGCUGCUUGGCCUUAUGCCAGGACUUUGAUGAGGGGAUCUGCCUGCCAUAUUAUUUCUUUCCGAAUCUCUGGGGCACGGCCAUACUCCAGAUCUGACCGGGGACGGCAUCCCAAUCACUGGAAUGCAUCUGAUCCUCCGACACUACCUGGUCUCUGGAGCCGCGGCUAAACCAGCGAAGGAGGAGGAACAGAGGAUCUGUAAUGGCACUGACCUCUGGGGCUGACGGAGGACGGAGUUCCUGGUUUCUCUCUGAGAUCCGAGCAGCAGAGCUCUCAGCACUGCGGUCAGCAGACGAUCAUCAAUGCUGUUAUCUGUGUUUUCACUCUCCUGGAGUACAGCAGCAUACACACAAACGCAUAUGAAACCUUGCAUCAAAAAGCUAGAACACUUGGAACAACAUCAAAAACCCUAACUGCAUUCAAUUUUGAGUUGCAGCACCAACUCCAGGGUUUGUAACUCCAGCAAGUCCUUCCUGCUGUGCCAAGGGACCUUGAGAUGUAGAUAUCAGUUUGCAGAAAUGUAUCUCACUCCCGCUCUGAUAUCCAUCCACCCUUAUCUUUAUGCAAAAUAAAGAUCUGUCGGUCUCUGCAUGCCACCGUGGGAAAACAUUAUAAUUUUCCUCGAGAUCUUCAUCCUCCUCCUCUACCGUGUUCUGUCUGUUGACCCCAGAAUAUAUUACAGUGUAUUUCACACUGUUGCAUGGAGAGGAACACGAUCUGAAAUCUAAAUGAGUUGUGUGAUUUAGCUUGUCUCACUUGAUAAAAAAGGCUCAAAUCCCAUUUACAUACUUCAUCACAUGGAUUGACAGACUUCUCUGAAAACGUUGGCAUGACUUCUGUCUAAUGUGGCACAGCAGACAUAUUUCAUUUUUCUCAAGUCUCAAUUAGCUAAAUAAAUAAUUAUCUGGUUAAAUAAAUGUUUAAACAUUUUUUUUAUCCUGACUCACAGUAUAAUUUAACACAAAACCAUGUGUGCCUGCGACACGUCUCAAAAUGUGAUUUUUAUUUUCAGAUGCCAAAAAUUAUUUUGGCAAAUUGAAUAUGAUGAAACAUGAGUCACAUGGUAUAAAGCACACAUAAAUGGUGCUAUUC